This 486-nucleotide ribosomal RNA is filed under the name Aporrectodea smaragdina. RNAcentral describes it as "partial 16S ribosomal RNA". It matches the Rfam family "Bacterial large subunit ribosomal RNA", at positions 1817 to 2597 of the family's 2925-position model. Lineage: Eukaryota; Metazoa; Annelida; Clitellata; Crassiclitellata; Lumbricidae. The record is from RNAcentral.
UGCUUCCUGUUUUCUUAUAGGAAGUAAUUCCUGCCCAGUGACUAAAGUUCAACGGCCGCGGUAUCCUAACCGUGCAAAGGUAGCAUAAUCACUUGCCCAUUAAUUGUGGGCUAGAAUGAAAGGACUAACGAAAUAAAAACUGUCUCUAUAAGUUAUCUAAAAAUUAAUCUCUAACUGAAGAAUGUUAGAUAUCGUCGAAGGACAAGAAGACCCUAUAGAGCUUCAUUUAAAUAAAAUUUAAACAAUUUUUAUAAAAUUCGGUUGGGGCGACCGGGGAAAACAGUCAAUCAUCCCUUACUAAUAGAUAAAUUAAUCACACUUUUGACCCUUAAUAAAGAUCACUAAACCAAGCUACCUUAGGGAUAACAGGCUAAUCUCACUAAAGAGUCCUUAUCAAUAGUGGGGUUUGGCACCUCGAUGUUGGCUUAGGGAAUCCUUACGGCGCAAAAGUCGUAUAAUGAUGGUUUGUUCAACCAAUAAUACCCU